This is a long non-coding RNA of Papaver somniferum (opium poppy), 1388 nucleotides long. RefSeq lists it as uncharacterized. Lineage: Eukaryota; Viridiplantae; Streptophyta; Magnoliopsida; Ranunculales; Papaveraceae. The transcript has 7 exons. The record is from RefSeq and is a predicted model, not a curated record.
CCGACUCGGAUAUGGUCCCAUCUCCAUUUCUCCUCGCUCUUUUCGCUGUUUCUCCUCCUUCUCUUUGCCUCAAAAAUCCUAAGAAACUCAUCUCUUAACAAACCCUAACAAACUCAUCUGUGUUUCGUUCUUUUCUCUCGUUGUUGUUUCUCAGACAACAAAUUUCACAAGCCGAACGAGAUAAGGUCCAAUCAAAAAUUAAAAAUCGAUCUUAAUUCUUCAUCCGUGAUUUGAGAAGAUAAACCCUAGAACCCAGUAAACGAAAUUAAUAUGCUCUCAUAACAGAUCUAUAUUCUAGUGAACAACUUAUUUCAAUGGGUUGGGUAAUGAUGAGAAUGAUUUUGAUGUUACUGCUUCUGAGAUUUUUGCAGCGAAAACAGGGAGCCUUGAUAGCAGAUUUGUUGUUAUGAUGAAAAUUGGGAAAUGCACCUUAGGACUUCCAGGAGCUCUUAAAUGUAAUAAUCUCUUAGUUCUCUAUAUAUAGUAUUUCUCAGCAGAAGGUUAUCGUUGCAUGCUUGUUCCUUGUGUUCGGGGUAGUAAAACUGCAUGUACAGCUGAGGAGAGCAAGAAAGUCCAUGCAUCAGGAUUUGGUUCUCUUGACUCGAUGAGUUGUGUACUGGUUAAGUACAAGGGGUCUUGAAAAUAGAACCAAACUAGAUCACCAUGGAGAAUAAAUUGGAAACUCAUUGGAAUGGACUUUACCACAGAUAAGUUGAUAUCUCUUGUAAGAAAGUGGCAGACAUUGAUUGAAGACAACAGACAACUUCACCUUGAGGAUGUUCUGCAUUAGAUUCACCAUGAAGCGAGACAAACAGGUCAAGAGAACCUGUUAUGCUCAAUCUAGCCAGAUUCUACAGGUGAAGUUAUGUCUUUGGAUUUCAACAUUUUCUUAUUAUUUAAUGAUUGUAGCAUCUGUAUUGUUUUGUCAGAUUUGUCGCAAGAUGGUUGAAAUCAUGGUAAACCAGGCCACUUCAUGUGAUCAUAAAUAAUUGGUGGCAAAAUUUAUCUUAGUGAUGACCGGAAAGGAUAUUGAGAAGGCUACAUCAAGCAUUUACCCAUUGUAGAAUGUGUUCAUUAGGAAGGUCAUGAUCUUAAAGGCUCCUAUGUUUGAUAAAAUUAUGGAUGCAAGUACUAUGUUAUGCGAUAGAGAAGAAGUACUUGGAGAUGUUGCAAGAGGCGACAUGAUUAAGUGGCCAAAAACUUAUGUAAAUCUUGUAGGAGAGCUACCAAAUUAGAGUGGGAAGAUUAGUAGUCAAAAAUUUAGUUUUAAUGUUUGGCGUGCAAUUUUAGGUUGAUACUUGAUAUAAUUUAUCUUUCAGUUUGUAGUCAGAGAUUCUAUGUUUUGUAUGUUAUUUUGAGUAUCAAUAUAAUGUUAAAUUUAUCCUUAA